RNAcentral lists this ribosomal RNA (600 nucleotides) under Nostoc commune AUS-JR/DB/NT-124. Its description in RNAcentral is "bacterial SSU rRNA". It matches the Rfam family "Bacterial small subunit ribosomal RNA", at positions 108 to 743 of the family's 1533-position model. The record is from RNAcentral. Lineage: Bacteria; Bacillati; Cyanobacteriota; Cyanophyceae; Nostocales; Nostocaceae.
CAGUAACGCGUGAGAAUCUGGCUCUAGGUCUGGGACAACAGUUGGAAACGACUGCUAAUACCGGAUGUGCCCUUGGGUGAAAGGCUUGCUGCCUAGAGAUGAGCUCGCGUCUGAUUAGCUAGUUGGUAGUGUAAAGGACUACCAAGGCGACGAUCAGUAGCUGGUCUGAGAGGAUGAUCAGCCACACUGGGACUGAGACACGGCCCAGACUCCUACGGGAGGCAGCAGUGGGGAAUUUUCCGCAAUGGGCGAAAGCCUGACGGAGCAAUACCGCGUGAGGGAGGAAGGCUCUUGGGUUGUAAACCUCUUUUCUCAAGGAAUAAGAUCUGAAGGUACUUGAGGAAUCAGCAUCGGCUAACUCCGUGCCAGCAGCCGCGGUAAUACGGAGGAUGCAAGCGUUAUCCGGAAUGAUUGGGCGUAAAGCGUCCGCAGGUGGCAUUGUAAGUCUGCUGUUAAAGAGUGAGGCUUAACCUCAUAAAAGCAGUGGAAACUACAAAGCUAGAGUGCGUUCGGGGCAGAAGGAAUUCCUGGUGUAGCGGUGAAAUGCGUAGAGAUCAGGAAGAACACCGGUGGCGAAGGCGUCUGCUAGGCCGCAACUGA